UCAACCACCCACGCGCUGGAAGCGCGGGGUUUGGCGAAUAGCCGACCCUGGUUGAUUAGCCCAAGUGCCACGAGCACUACGUUAUGCCGGAAUGCAUAGGCACUACGGGAUAUCGUCCUGGUCCCGUACUCUGC
RNAcentral lists this small RNA (134 nucleotides) under human gut metagenome. RNAcentral's name for it is "HNH endonuclease-associated RNA and ORF (HEARO) RNA". It matches the Rfam family "HNH endonuclease-associated RNA and ORF (HEARO) RNA", at positions 1 to 128 of the family's 211-position model. The record is from RNAcentral.